RNAcentral lists this long non-coding RNA (634 nucleotides) under Physcomitrium patens. Its description in RNAcentral is "long non-coding RNA (PPAT_LNC001061)". Lineage: Eukaryota; Viridiplantae; Streptophyta; Bryopsida; Funariales; Funariaceae. The record is from RNAcentral.
AGGAUUUGAUUUAGAAUUUAGUUUAGAUUAUGGUUUGGCUAGAAUUUUCUAAAGUUUGGCUAGGAUUUGGUUAGGAUUUAAGAUUUUAUUUGAUUAGAAAUUGAUUAGAAUUUGAUUAGGAUUUGACUAAGAUUUAUUUAGGAUUUAUCUAGAAUUUGAUUAAGGCUUAUUUAAGAUUUGUCUAGAAUUUUUACUAGGAUUUGUUUAGGAUUUGAUUAGAGUUUGAUUAAGAUUUAUCUAAGGUUUGUUUAGGAUUUGGUUAGGGCUUAUUUAGGAUUUUUCUAGGAUUUAAUAAAGAUUAUUUAGGAUUUGAUUAGGGCUUAUUUAGGAUUUGAUUAGGAUUUAUUUAAGAUUUGAUUAGGAUUUGGUUAAUAUUUAUUUCAAAUUUGAUUAAGCUUUGUCUAAGAUUUGAUUAAGGCUAUUUAGAGUUUGACUAAGAUUUUAUUAAGAUUUGAUUAAGAUUUGAUUAAGGUUUGACUAAGAUUUGACUAAAUUUUGACUAGGUUUUGAUUAAGAUUUAUUUAAGGUUUUUAUUUUAAUAUUUUAUUAAGAUUUUUAUUUUAAUAUAUAUUUUUUUGAAUUUCUAUGUUAUUUCUUUAUGAUUUCUUAAAAAGAUUUGUGAGAAUUAUUUUUA